GGGAAUUGUGCAAAGAAUUGUAUCUUUAUUG
Molecule: non-coding RNA, 31 nt
Filed under: Homo sapiens (human)
Lineage: Eukaryota; Metazoa; Chordata; Mammalia; Primates; Hominidae
Source: RNAcentral